UUUUUGAGUUUAAUUUAAAGUCUAAUCUGCCCACUGAUUUAAUAUUGAAGGGCUGCAGUAAUUUGACUGUACAAAGGUAGCAUAAUCAUUAGUCUUUUAAUUGAAGACUUGUAUGAAGGAUUUAAUGAAAUAUAAACUGUCUCUAAUUUAUAAAUAGAAUUUAAUUUUUUAGUUAAAAAGCUAAAAUAAGUUUAAAAGACGAGAAGACCCUAUAGAGUUUUAUAAUUUUUAGUUUUAAAUAUUUAUAUAAAAAUUUAUUAUAAAAAACUAUAAAUUAUUUUAUUGGGGUGAUAAAAAAAUUAAAUAAACUUUUUUUUUUAUUUAACAUAAAUAAGUGAAUAUUUGAUCCAAUAUAAUGAUUAUAAGAAAAAAUUACCUUAGGGAUAACAGCGUAAUAUUUUUUUUUAGUACAAAUAAAAAAAAAAGUUUGCGACCUCGAUGUUGGAUUAAGAUAAAAUUUAAAUGCAAAAGUUUAAAAUUUUGAUCUGUUCGAUCAUUAAAAUCUUACAUGAUCUGA
RNAcentral lists this ribosomal RNA (517 nucleotides) under Nacaduba sp. SSG-2014a. RNAcentral describes it as "partial 16S ribosomal RNA". The stretch from base 383 to 517 matches the Rfam family "Bacterial large subunit ribosomal RNA", at positions 2473 to 2608 of the family's 2925-position model. Lineage: Eukaryota; Metazoa; Arthropoda; Insecta; Lepidoptera; Lycaenidae. The record is from RNAcentral.